AAAAGAUUACAUUACAAUUACACACAUAUUAGACAUUACAGCUGUACCCUUUUGUCGUGACUGUUGUUUAGGCAAACUACUCCUUGUUUUAAAGUGGAAUUUAAAUUGUAGAAUAAGAUCAUGUCUUAAUUAUGUGUGCAUGUGUGUAAACAUUUGUGUUGUAGGAGAAAGCUAAACCGUUCAGUGGAAUGUUCCGGAAACCUAACCAAAGCAAACCAGUAGACGCUACUCAACCGGAGGAGGUAAAAGUGUCUACUUCGGUCACAUUAUUGUCUAUUAAACCGAUACCAAGAUAACAAUGAAUUUGCUUGAACAAUAGUCUACUUAUGGUCUACCGUUUCAACAGUUUGAGCCUCAUUGAUACUUAAUCUGCCAAAAACCUUUGCUUGUGUCUAACUUAUUGAUAAUGUGUUCAUGUGUAGGAUAAAGAGUCACCAAACAGUGAUCUCCUGGCUAGCAACGAGAGCUUAUCAGAGACCAAGGUCAGUCAAGAGAAGGAACCAAAUGCCUGACAAUUGCAUGACAAUUUUUAUUCUACACAGACGUAGCUACUCAAUUAGCAUGUUUCCUGUAUUUGUCUAUCAGGAAAAGGGAGCUUUGUUUGGUGUAAUUCUCAAGAAGACUCCCAAAGCCACCGUAGAUGCCACCGAGGACAAAGAGGUCGACAAGAAACUCCCGGUCAGCCAUCACAAUCUCUCUGAGGGUAACACUGUGAAGGAGAAACACAUCUUUGGCGGUAUCUUUAAGAAGCCCCAGAAGACAACGCAAGAGGAAAGCUCCGAUAACGAGGUAAAGAGGAGGACGCUGUUAUUUGGUUUUAUAAACAAACCUGGAACACUUUAUAAUACCACUCAGUCAAAAGUCAUUUAUAAGCCUUUAGGCCUUUAG
Molecule: long non-coding RNA, 888 nt
Filed under: Gadus morhua (Atlantic cod)
Lineage: Eukaryota; Metazoa; Chordata; Actinopteri; Gadiformes; Gadidae
Description: lncRNA (ENSGMOG00000031683.1)
Source: RNAcentral